GACGAACGCUGGCGGCGUGCCUAAUACAUGCAAGUAGAACGCACAGUUUAUACCGUGGCUUGCUACACCAUAGACUGUGAGUUGCGAACGGGUGAGUAACGCGUAGGUAACCUGCCUGUUAGCGGGGGAUAACUAUUGGAAACGAUAGCUAAUACCGCAUAAUAUUAAUUAUUGCAUGAUAAUUAAUUGAAAGGUGCAAUUGCACCACUACCAGAUGGACCUGCGUUGUAUUAGCUAGUAGGUGAGGUAACGGCUCACCUAGGCGACGAUACAUAGCCGACCUGAGAGGGUGAUCGGCCACACUGGGACUGAGACACGGCCCAGACUCCUACGGGAGGCAGCAGUAGGGAAUCUUCGGCAAUGGACGAAAGUCUGACCGAGCAACGCCGCGUGAGUGAAGAAGGUUUUCGGAUCGUAAAGCUCUGUUGUAAGAGAAGAACGGGUGUGAGAGUGAAAAGUUCACACUGUGACGGUAUCUUACCAGAAAGGGACGGCUAACUACGUG
Molecule: ribosomal RNA, 505 nt
Filed under: uncultured bacterium
Lineage: Bacteria
Description: partial 16S ribosomal RNA
Rfam family: Bacterial small subunit ribosomal RNA
Source: RNAcentral